UGGAAGUGAUGAAAUAGAGAUAAUUGGAUGUCUCUCUGAAUGGAGUGUGUGUGAUAAAUGGAAUUUAAGUCUUAACUGGGGGUGGGGCAUAAGGGGGGGGUGUGUGUGGGCACAUGUAUAGAAAAGGCUUGAAUCGGGGGCACUGAAUGCGGUGCUGAUUCCGGAGUGCAUCUGAGGCAUGUUGCUGAGUUCUGAGGUGCCACUUUACAACAUUGCCAAUGAUUAAAGCCCAAAGCAAGCCCACCGAGACAAGCCUGGGCAUCCUAAAUCUCGAGAGGGUCACUCAUGUAAGUGAUCCUUUGAUCUGAUCUGA
RNAcentral lists this small nucleolar RNA (313 nucleotides) under Patagioenas fasciata monilis. Its description in RNAcentral is "Small Cajal body-specific RNA 7". It matches the Rfam family "Small Cajal body-specific RNA 7". Lineage: Eukaryota; Metazoa; Chordata; Aves; Columbiformes; Columbidae. The record is from Rfam by way of RNAcentral.